GACGAACGCUGGCGGCGUGCUUAACACAUGCAAGUCGAACGGUGAAGGGACCGGUUUUUGCUGGUUCUGGAUGAGUGGCGAACGGGUGAGUAACACGUGAGUAACCUGCCCCCUUCUUCUGGAUAACCGCAUGAAAGUGUGGCUAAUACGGGAUAUUCUGCGCCUGCUGCAUGGUGGGUGUGGGAAAGAUAUUGUUUCGGUGGGGGAUGGGCUCGCGGCCUAUCAGCUUGUUGGGGGGGUGAUGGCCUACCAAGGCGGUGACGGGUAGCCGGCCUGAGAGGGUGGACGGUCACACUGGGACUGAGACACGGCCCAGACUCCUACGGGAGGCAGCAGUGGGGAAUAUUGCACAAUGGGCGCAAGCCUGAUGCAGCGACGCCGCGUGAGGGAUGGAGGCCUUCGGGUUGUAAACCUCUUUCGCCAGUGAAGCAGGCCUGUCCCUUUUGUGGGUGGGUUGACGGUAGCUGGAGAAGAAGCGCCGGCUAACUACGUG
Molecule: ribosomal RNA, 493 nt
Filed under: uncultured bacterium
Lineage: Bacteria
Description: partial 16S ribosomal RNA
Rfam family: Bacterial small subunit ribosomal RNA
Source: RNAcentral